RNAcentral lists this ribosomal RNA (463 nucleotides) under uncultured bacterium. Its description in RNAcentral is "bacterial SSU rRNA". It matches the Rfam family "Bacterial small subunit ribosomal RNA", at positions 28 to 507 of the family's 1533-position model. The record is from RNAcentral.
GACGAACGCUGGCGGCGUGCCUAACACAUGCAAGUCGAACGGGGUGAGAUCCUUCGGGGUUUCACUUAGUGGCGAACGGGUGAGUAACGCGUGAGAAACCUGCCUUUCAGUGGGGGACAACAGUUGGAAACGACUGCUAAUACCGCAUAACGUAUUUUAGGGGCAUCCCUUGAAUACCAAAGCUUUAUGUGCUGAAAGAUGGUCUCGCGUCUGAUUAGCUAGAUGGCGGGGUAACGGCCCACCAUGGCGACGAUCAGUAGCCGGUCUGAGAGGAUGAACGGCCACAUUGGGACUGAGAUACGGCCCAGACUCCUACGGGAGGCAGCAGUGGGGAAUAUUGGGCAAUGGGGGAAACCCUGAUGCAGCGACGCCGCGUGAGCGAAGAAGUAUUUCGGUAUGUAAAGCUCUAUCAGCAGGGAAGAUAAUGACGGUACCUGACUAAGAAGCUCCGGCUAAAUACGUG